AGAGUUUGAUCCUGGCUCAGGACGAACGCUGGCGGCGUGCUUAACACAUGCAAGUCGAGCGAUGAAGCUUCCUUCGGGAAGUGGAUUAGCGGCGGACGGGUGAGUAACACGUGGGUAACCUGCCUCAAAGUGGGGGAUAGCCUUCCGAAAGGAAGAUUAAUACCGCAUAAUAUAAGAGAAUCGCAUGAUUUUCUUAUCAAAGAUUUAUUGCUUUGAGAUGGACCCGCGGCGCAUUAGCUAGUUGGUAAGGUAACGGCUUACCAAGGCAACGAUGCGUAGCCGACCUGAGAGGGUGAUCGGCCACAUUGGAACUGAGACACGGUCCAGACUCCUACGGGAGGCAGCAGUGGGGAAUAUUGCGCAAUGGGGGAAACCCUGACGCAGCAACGCCGCGUGGGUGAUGAAGGUCUUCGGAUUGUAAAGCCCUGUUUUCUAGGACGAUAAUGACGGUACUAGAGGAGGAAGCCACGGCUAACUACGUGCCAGCAGCCGCGGUAAUACGUAGGUGGCGAGCGUUGUCCGGAUUUACUGGGCGUAAAGGGUGCGUAGGCGGAUGUUUAAGUGGGAUGUGAAAUCCCCGGGCUUAACCUGGGGGCUGCAUUCCAAACUGGAUAUCUAGAGUGCAGGAGAGGAAAGCGGAAUUCCUAGUGUAGCGGUGAAAUGCGUAGAGAUUAGGAAGAACACCAGUGGCGAAGGCGGCUUUCUGGACUGUAACUGACGCUGAGGCACGAAAGCGUGGGUAGCAAACAGGAUUAGAUACCCUGGUAGUCCACGCCGUAAACGAUGGAUACUAGGUGUAGGGGGUAUCAACUCCUCCUGUGCCGCAGUUAACACAAUAAGUAUCCCGCCUGGGGAGUACGGUCGCAAGAUUAAAACUCAAAGGAAUUGACGGGGGCCCGCACAAGCAGCGGAGCAUGUGGUUUAAUUCGAAGCAACGCGAAGAACCUUACCUGGACUUGACAUCCCUUGCAUAGCCUAGAGAUAGGUGAAGCCCUUCGGGGCAAGGAGACAGGUGGUGCAUGGUUGUCGUCAGCUCGUGUCGUGAGAUGUUAGGUUAAGUCCUGCAACGAGCGCAACCCUUGUUAUUAGUUGCUACCAUUAAGUUGAGCACUCUAAUGAGACUGCCUGGGUAACCAGGAGGAAGGUGGGGAUGACGUCAAAUCAUCAUGCCCCUUAUGUCCAGGGCUACACACGUGCUACAAUGGUAGGUACAAUAAGACGCAAGACCGUGAGGUGGAGCAAAACUUAUAAAACCUAUCUCAGUUCGGAUUGUAGGCUGCAACUCGCCUACAUGAAGCUGGAGUUGCUAGUAAUCGCGAAUCAGAAUGUCGCGGUGAAUACGUUCCCGGGCCUUGUACACACCGCCCGUCACACCAUGAGAGCUGGUAACACCCGAAGUCCGUGAGGUAACCGUAAGGAGCCAGCGGCCGAAGGUGGGAUUAGUGAUUGGGGUGAAGUCGUAACAAGGUAGCCGUAGGAGAACCUGCGGCUG
This 1492-nucleotide ribosomal RNA is filed under the name Clostridium botulinum. RNAcentral describes it as "bacterial SSU rRNA". It matches the Rfam family "Bacterial small subunit ribosomal RNA". Lineage: Bacteria; Bacillati; Bacillota; Clostridia; Eubacteriales; Clostridiaceae. The record is from RNAcentral.